UACGAAGGGGGCUAGCGUUGCUCGGAAUUACUGGGCGUAAAGGGCGCGUAGGCGGAUCGUUAAGUUAGAGGUGAAAGCCCAGGGCUCAACCCUGGAAUUGCCUUUGAUACUGGCGAGCUUGAGUAUGGGAGAGGUAAGCGGAACUCCGAGUGUAGAGGUGAAAUUCGUAGAUAUUCGGAAGAACACCAGUGGCGAAGGCGGCUUACUGGCCCAUUACUGACGCUGAGGCUCGAAAGCGUGGGGAGCAAACAGG
Molecule: ribosomal RNA, 253 nt
Filed under: uncultured bacterium
Lineage: Bacteria
Description: partial 16S ribosomal RNA
Rfam family: Bacterial small subunit ribosomal RNA
Source: RNAcentral